AACGAACGCUGGCGGCAUGCCUAACACAUGCAAGUCGAACGAGACCUUCGGGUCUAGUGGCGCACGGGUGCGUAACGCGUGGGAACCUGCCCUUAGGUUCGGAAUAACUCCCCGAAAGGGGUGCUAAUACCGGAUAAUGUCUUCGGACCAAAGAUUUAUCGCCUUUGGAUGGGCCCGCGUUGGAUUAGCUAGUUGGUAGGGUAAAAGCCUACCAUGGCGACGAUCCAUAGCUGGUCUGAGAGGAUGAUCAUCCACACUGGGACUGAGACACGGCCCAGACUCCGACGGGAGGCAGCAGUGGGGAAUAUUGGACGAUGGGCGAAAGCCUGAUCCAGCAAUGCCGCGUGAGUGAUGAAGGCCUUAGGGUUGUAAAGCUCUUUUACCCGGGAUGAUAAUGACAGUACCGGGAGAAUAAGCUCCGGCUAACUCCGUG
This 433-nucleotide ribosomal RNA is filed under the name uncultured bacterium. RNAcentral's name for it is "partial 16S ribosomal RNA". It matches the Rfam family "Bacterial small subunit ribosomal RNA", at positions 29 to 507 of the family's 1533-position model. The record is from RNAcentral.